RNAcentral lists this ribosomal RNA (426 nucleotides) under uncultured prokaryote. RNAcentral describes it as "bacterial SSU rRNA". It matches the Rfam family "Bacterial small subunit ribosomal RNA", at positions 355 to 774 of the family's 1533-position model. The record is from RNAcentral.
UGAGGAAUAUUGCGCAAUGGGGGCAACCCUGACGCAGCAACGCCGCGUGAGUGAAGAAGGCCUUCGGGUUGUAAAGCUCUGUCAGGCGGGAAGAAACCUUCAUGGUAAAUAGCCAUGAAUCUGACGGUACCGCCAAAGGAAGCACCGGCUAACUCCGUGCCAGCAGCCGCGGUAAGACGGAGGGUGCGAGCGUUGUUCGGAAUCACUGGGCGUAAAGCGCGUGUAGGCGGCCUGAUUAGUCGAGUGUGAAAGCCCGAGGCUUAACCUCGGAAGUGCAUUCGAAACUGUCAGGCUUGAGUACGGGAGAGGGUAGUGGAAUUCCUGGUGUAGAGGUGAAAUUCGUAGAUAUCAGGAGGAACACCGGUGGCGAAGGCGGCUACCUGGACCGAUACUGACGCUGAGACGCGAAAGCGUGGGGAGCAAACA